RNAcentral lists this ribosomal RNA (197 nucleotides) under uncultured bacterium. RNAcentral describes it as "partial 16S ribosomal RNA". It matches the Rfam family "Bacterial small subunit ribosomal RNA", at positions 326 to 539 of the family's 1533-position model. The record is from RNAcentral.
ACGCUCGACACCUACGGUAGGCAGCAGUGGGGAAUAUUGCACAAUGGGGGAAACCCUGAUGCAGCGACGCCGCGUGAGCGAAGAAGUAUUUCGGUAUGUAAAGCUCUAUCAGCAGGGAAGAAAGUGACGGUACCUGACUAAGAAGCACCGGCUAAAUACGUGCAGCAGCCGCGGUAAUCUGAGCGGGCUGGCAAGGC